AUUGAACGCUGGCGGAAUGCUUUACACAUGCAAGUCGAACGGUAGAGGGGGCAACCCCUCGAGAGUGGCGAACGGGUGAGUAAUAUAUCGGAACGUGCCCAGUCGUGGGGGAUAACGUAGCGAAAGUUACGCUAAUACCGCAUACGAUCUAAGGAUGAAAGCGGGGGAUCGCAAGACGUUGCGCGAUUGGAGCGGCUGAUAUCAGAUUAGGUAGUUGGUGGGGUAAAGGCUCACCAAGCCAACGAUCUGUAGCUGGUCUGAGAGGACGACCAGCCACACUGGAACUGAGACACGGUCCAGACUCCUACGGGAGGCAGCAGUGGGGAAUUUUGGACAAUGGACGCAAGUCUGAUCCAGCCAUUCCGCGUGCAGGAUGAAGGCCCUCGGGUUGUAAACUGCUUUUGUACGGAACGAAAAGGUCUCUCUUAAUACGGGGGGCUCAUGACGGUACCGUAAGAAUAAGCACCGGCUAACUACGUGCCAGCCGCCGCCGUAA
RNAcentral lists this ribosomal RNA (496 nucleotides) under uncultured bacterium. Its description in RNAcentral is "partial 16S ribosomal RNA". It matches the Rfam family "Bacterial small subunit ribosomal RNA", at positions 30 to 523 of the family's 1533-position model. The record is from RNAcentral.